Molecule: long non-coding RNA, 1138 nt
Organism: Tupaia belangeri chinensis (Chinese tree shrew)
Lineage: Eukaryota; Metazoa; Chordata; Mammalia; Scandentia; Tupaiidae
Exons: 3
Source: RefSeq, a predicted model, not a curated record
AAGGGGAAAUCAGGAUGCACAGUCAGAUGCUGGAGUUGAUUCAAAAUAUUCUCAUGAAAAUCAUGGAACUAAAGGUGUUUGAAUACUCUGUGAAGCUCUCAUAAUGUAUUACAAGUCAGCCUAGCAAUGUCCUAAAGAGAGUACAGAAGGCAUAUGAUCAGCUGUGUAAUUGUAACUGAAUAAUCCAAACCACUGUGUAUAAAAUGUGCCAAGAGUCCACUCCAAAAUUUAAAGUUAGCUUUGUGCAUUAUGAAGUAAUUAUAUUCAAUCAUACCAGUGUGGCGUUUCUUCAUUUAUUUUGGUGAACUGCUUGAGUUUCCUUUAUCUUCUGAUUAUCAGUACCUUAUCAUCAAGGUUCCCAAACCCUAGGCCAUGGGGUGUACUGUUUGUGACCUGUUGGGAACUGAGCCACACAGCAGGAGCUGUUGGUGUGAUUUAUGGUGCAUUCUUAAGGAAGAGAGAUUUCCUUUUGUGCAUAAUCUAGUGAUUCUUAAUCAUCUGGUUGAUCACUCACAUUUUACUAAUUUAUGGAGUAGAUUGCAUAAUGCUCUCAGUUCCAUAUGCUCCCCUGGCAAUGUGGGCCAGGGGGGCUAGAUACCAGCUGUGUCUUUCAGACCUGAGCACGUGCUUUGCAAUCUGUUUAUAAGACUAGGGCUAGAAUGGCCUUUAAGACACAAAUUGUCUGUCCCUGGAAGAAUAUUCACAAAAUGACUAUCUUAAUGGAACCAGUGUAACCAGCCAGAGCGGGCCUAAUUAGGAAAAACCUAGUGUUGAGUGCUGUUCUGCAAAUUGUUUGAAGGAUAUGUGUGCUGAGAAAGGUGAGUGACCUAAAGUUGACCUCAUGCUUCAGAGAGGGAAUGAAAAUGGCAGCUACAACAGAGAUCAAUCAAGCAUCCGGAUCAUCUGUAUCACUGAAAGUGAAGAGACUAAUAAGGGCAUUGAUAAUCUAUCCCAUUAAAUCCUGGAAGAAAACUUUCCAAACCUAGAGAAGCCCUCAAAUAUCCAGACCCAAGAAAUACAGAAGACCCCACAUACAAUCAACCCAAUAAGAUCUUCCCCAAAGCACAUCAUAGCCAGAUUAACCAAAACCACACACAGAGAUAAGAUACUAAAAUUGGCAAGAGAAAAAUGUCAAGUU